GAAAUGCGAUAAGUAAUGUGAAUUGCAGAAUUCAGUGAAUCAUCGAAUCUUUGAACGCAGCUUGCGCUCCUUGGUAUUCCUUGGAGCAUGCCUGUUUGAGUAUCAUGAAAUCUUCAAAGUAAAUCUUUUGUUAACUCAAUUGGUUUCUACUUUGGUAUUGGAGGUCUUUGCAGCUUCACACCUGCUCCUCUUUGUUCAUUAGCUGGAUCUCAGUGUUAUGCUUGGUUCCACUCGGCGUGAUAAGUUAUCUAUCGCUGAGGACACUGUAAAAGGUGGUCAAGGUAAAUGCAGAUGAACCGCUUCUAAUAGUCCAUUGACUUGGACAAUACUUUUAUGAUCUGAUCUCAAAUCAGGUAGGACUACCCGCUGAACUUAAGC
RNAcentral lists this unclassified non-coding RNA (378 nucleotides) under plant metagenome. RNAcentral's name for it is "partial contains 5.8S ribosomal RNA, internal transcribed spacer 2, and large subunit ribosomal RNA". The stretch from base 1 to 105 matches the Rfam family "5.8S ribosomal RNA", at positions 50 to 154 of the family's 154-position model. The record is from RNAcentral.